CCUCCCAUCCCCCUCCCCAUCUCCUCUGGUCAUUUUAACAAAUUUUAAGUAAGCCGUUCAUUGGCAUUUAUUACACAGACUCUGCUGGGCAAUCAUCCCCACAGUCGGUCUAUCACUUUCUCUGCAACCAUUUGUUGUGGUUUGCAUGUGAACUUCCCCUCACUCCUCAUGUGUUCGAACUGGCUGGUCUUCAGUUGGUGAAACUGUUUUGGAGGGCUGUAGAAUCUUUAGGUGUGUGGAGCCUUGCCUGAAAAAGUGAGUUUCCUGUUCACUGCCCAUUCCUGAAAGCAGAUGCAACGUGACCAGCCCGCCUCCCGCUGCUGUCACUCCGCCUUCCCUGCACGCGGCGUCUGCCCCACCUCCAACUGUGCACCGCAGCAAAACCUUUUCUCCUUAAAUUGCUGUUGUCGGGGCACCCUGCCACAGCAACAGGAAUAACAUGCUUCUGAACACUCAGAGUCCGCCCUCAGUGACACACCUCCUCUGACAAGGCCGCACCUCCUAAUCCUUCCCAAACAGUUCUACCAGCUGAGGACCGAGUAUUCAAACACAUGAGCCUGUGGUGGCCAUUCUCAUUCAAGCCAUCAUACUCCUUUUUGUUUUCAUUUCAGGGCACUGCACCAAGUCUUGUGCCACGCUUCCCACAGCGAAGAGCUGUGUGUCUACCAUGUCAGUGUCUUUUGGGUACUCAUUUUCAGUAAGAAAUGAGCACUGUUUAAGUAGCACUGUUUCCUCUAAGGUAAUAGAUGAAGGUAGCUAUCAAGCAUUGGGAAAUUUCUUAUUAUGUUGGGGUGCUCGUAACUACUGUUAGUGGCUUACUGUAAGAAAGGCAUUUGUAGCCUAAUAGCUACUUAGGGAGAUUGAGUUGUGAGUAUAGUUCAAUGGCAGCGUGUUGCAUGAGGCCUAGUCUCUAUGUGUUUUAAGACAGCCAGGGAGAGGGGGGCAGAUGGGGAGAGAAGAGGGUGGGUAAAGUAGCCACCAAAACCCAGGUCAAUACCAAAGGAACUGAAAAGCUUUCAUUUGUGGUUUAAUUUGUAUUGUUGAGAUAGGGAUUUCUCUGUAUAUUGCUGGCUGCCCUGGAACUCCUAGAAAUCUACCUGCCUCUGCAAGAAAUAACUCCAGAAGACUCCCUCUGCAAAUAGACCAGGGGCAUUGUACAUAGGAUGGAUUCAAGUCACGCUAAGGCAGAUCAGAGUAACUCACCUCUUCAAGCAAAGCUCCACCACCUAAGGAUUCUACAGCCCUCCAAAACGGUUCGCCAACUGAGGACCCGGCAGUUCAAACACGUGGAAGAGCUCCUGCUCCAAACCUUAAGUCCCCCCGUUCUGGAAGAGGGUUCCAGGGUUACUUCCGUUCACUUGGCACCCAGCCAGACACAUCAAAAAUGUUUUUUUGUUUUAGAGAUACCUAGUCGGGAGGCCCAGAGCUCCCCACUGAUGAACUGCUCUUUCAUCUCAUUUCCUCUUCUGUGCCCCUCAAGACCUUGAAAUUCCUCAAGACUCGAGGAGCCCAUCUGCAUUGUAUGUGCGUGUUGCAAAUGGCUUGGUAUCCCCUGGCAAUACACACUGUAUCCUGUUAAGGCUGAUGGUGGGUGGUUUCGUACGUUUGAUAGCCAUAGUGUCAAAUGCUGGUCUAUGCUGGGCGGUUUAACAGCUGGGAGCUCUGAAGCAUGACUGUGUGUUCAUCAUAAGCCAGACUAAUAAAAAGUCCCACCUUUGCAGGUUGGUUGUAAAUACCCA
Molecule: long non-coding RNA, 1739 nt
Organism: Meriones unguiculatus (Mongolian gerbil)
Lineage: Eukaryota; Metazoa; Chordata; Mammalia; Rodentia; Muridae
Exons: 2
Source: RefSeq, a predicted model, not a curated record